GAAAGCCUUUGAAACGAUAAAGCUUGUUCUGGUGGGUGCAUGAAUGUAACUGUCAGUCUUGAAUCAAAUAAUUAGUGAGAUUAAGAGCGUUAACCAUUUCAGUGCAGCACCACGCAACCAUAUGAUAGAUUUUGGUCCUUUGCGCAGUUAGUAAAAUCGUAGCCUUCAUAGGCCUUGAUGAUAUCUUUUGGGUUACAGUUUACCUUGAUUGUGUCUUUCAAUUGGACAUGAGAAUCCCUUUCUCACAAAAUGCCCACUUAAUACACGCGAAGGAUUGGCAAGUGGAACCCAACUUUGAGGGUGUAAUUGGUUAUAGUUUGGUGGUGGUGAUAGUGGUUUGCUUAGCCCUUUACUAUCAAAAGCCGGUUUGUAGUCAGUUUAAAGGUGGGAGCUCUUUCCAGGUUAUGGAAGACGAGCUACAUAAUGGAGCUAUGUGAAUUAUGUGCUUCAUACACCUGAAGAGAUAUAAGAUCGGGGACUUGUGAAGCAGUGGAAAGGUGGUAUCUGCUGUCCUAGGUUCUGAGUGAGUUGACUUCUUGAAAGGUCACAAGGAUAGCAGGUAUCCUUGGUAUAGGUAUUGAACAAAGGUAAGAUUCAUGAAACUGCUCAUGGCCAUGUUAGGGGGUGGAUUUUUUAGGGGGGAUUUUGGAGAGGAAAAAGGUGUGGGAACUGAAAAGAAAAUGACUAAGUGAUAAAGCAUCUUUGUUCUUUUGAUUACCCUACCAUUGUCCUCUUCCAUGGUUAUCCUUUAAUUCAUAGUGCAAACACGUGAAUUAAUCGGAGGAGAAAAGGAGACAUAGAUAGGCAAAGAUGCAACUGGUUGUCAGGGGGAAGUGUUUGCAGACAUGAGUUUUCGCAAUGUUUGGUGGAAUUGAAAUUUCUUCUGGGUUGAUUUGUCUAAAUGGAGCUAAAGAUUUUCAUAAUGCCAGUGGAAGACUAUUCUGCUGCUGUGGACGCAAACUGCUGAAUACUUGCUCCUACUAUGUGGAAAUGGGGUGAGUAAACUUCUUGAAAGGUCAAGUGGUUAGCAGGUAUCCUUGAUAUUGGGAUUCAACAAAGGUAAGACUCAUGAAACUGCGCAAGGCCAUGUUUGGUGGUGGAUUUUGUAGGAGGGAUUUUUGGAGAGAGGAAAAAGGUGUAGGAACUGAUGAGAAAAUGACGAAGUAAUAAAGCAACUUUAUUCUUUUGAUUACCCUACCAUUGUCCUCUUCCAUGGUGAAUCCACUAAUUCACAAUGCUAACUUAUGAAUUAGUUGGAGGAGACACAGAUAGGCAAAGAUGCAAUUGGUUUUUCGGGGGAAGUGUCGACAGACAUGAGUUUUUUCAAGGUUUUGUGGAAUUGAAAUUUCUUCCGGGUUGAUUGGUUCAUUGGUCUAAAUGGAGCUAAAGGUCUUCAUAGUGCCAGUGGAGACUAUUUUGCUAUUGUGGACGCAAGCUGCCAAAUACUUUGCUCUGACGAAGGAUAUGUUCAAUUUAGAUUGAGUUGCUCUUUUUUGCAUAUUCUAUCAUUUCGUAUUUUUUCUUGACGUGAUUAUAUUUACGGUCAUGAUGCGGUAAUUUAUGCUACAGAGAGAGAGAGAGAGAGAGAGAGAGAGAGGAGUCUGUGCAUGAUCUUACAGCUCUCUUUUGUCUUUUUCGGGUAUUUUACCUUGGGGAACUGAUUGGUCGUUCAAGAAUGCACUAGUUUUAGCCAUGAUCGAUAUUUUCGUCUUUGGAUUCUUUACCAUGGUGAAGAAUGUCUUUACAUGGGAUGUGUGAAUCAAUUAGGUUAUAUAUGGCCUUACC
This is a long non-coding RNA of Rhododendron vialii, 1785 nucleotides long. RefSeq lists it as uncharacterized. The record is from RefSeq and is a predicted model, not a curated record. The transcript has 3 exons. NCBI's taxonomy places the organism in Eukaryota, Viridiplantae, Streptophyta, Magnoliopsida, Ericales, Ericaceae.